Molecule: non-coding RNA, 375 nt
Organism: Oncorhynchus mykiss (rainbow trout)
Lineage: Eukaryota; Metazoa; Chordata; Actinopteri; Salmoniformes; Salmonidae
Source: RefSeq, a predicted model, not a curated record
CAGCCCGGGGCCUACGGCGAGGAUCCGCAGUCCAGAGCCUACGGCAAUGAUCCACGAGUCAGUGCUACAAGAGCGGACUCAGUGUAAAGAAGGGGGGCGGCGUCCAGAACCAGAGCCGCCACCGAGGUUAGAUGCCCACCCAGACCCUCCCGUUUAGGUGAGGCACAGCAAAUAUAUAGCCUGUAUGACAUCCAGCCCUGAUGUCCCCUUUCCUUUUCCCCUGUGAUCCAGAAAAGCCUCAGGAUUCUUCAGGAUAUGGACUCUACAAAGUGUUGAAAGCAUUCCACAGGGAUGCCGGCCCAUGUUGACUCCAAUGCUUCCCACAGUUGUGUUAAGUUGGCUGAAUGUCCUUUGGGUUGUGGACCAUUCUUGAUA